Molecule: transfer RNA, 90 nt
Filed under: Planctomycetota bacterium
Lineage: Bacteria; Pseudomonadati; Planctomycetota
Description: Planctomycetes bacterium tRNA-Ser
Rfam family: tRNA
About the family: Transfer RNA (tRNA) molecules are approximately 80 nucleotides in length. Their secondary structure includes four short double-helical elements and three loops (D, anti-codon, and T loops). Further hydrogen bonds mediate the characteristic L-shaped molecular structure. tRNAs have two regions of fundamental functional importance: the anti-codon, which is responsible for specific mRNA codon recognition, and the 3' end, to which the tRNAs corresponding amino acid is attached (by aminoacyl-tRNA synthetases). tRNAs cope with the degeneracy of the genetic code in two manners: having more than one tRNA (with a specific anti-codon) for a particular amino acid; and 'wobble' base-pairing, i.e. permitting non-standard base-pairing at the 3rd anti-codon position.
Source: RNAcentral
GGAGAGGUGGCCGAGUGGCUGAAGGCGCCGGUUUGCUAAACCGGUGAGCUCCGUCAAGGGGCUCCGUGGGUUCGAAUCCCAUCCUCUCCG